This is a small nuclear RNA of Phyllostomus discolor (pale spear-nosed bat), 106 nucleotides long. The record is from RefSeq and is a predicted model, not a curated record. Lineage: Eukaryota; Metazoa; Chordata; Mammalia; Chiroptera; Phyllostomidae.
GUGCUCACUUCUGUGGCACAUGUCCUGAAAUUGCAAUGGUAUAGAGAAGAUUAGCGCGGUCCCUGCACAAGGACGAUGAAAGACAAAAGCCCAAAUAAAAAUGGAU